Molecule: ribosomal RNA, 1884 nt
Filed under: human gut metagenome
Description: bacterial LSU rRNA
Rfam family: Bacterial large subunit ribosomal RNA
Source: RNAcentral
UCAAGCGAACAAGGGCGCAGGGCGAAUGCCUUGGCACUGGGAGCCGAUGAAAGACGUGAUAAGCUGCGAUAAGCUUCGGGGAGCUGCAAAUAAGCAUUGAUCCGGAGAUUUCUGAAUGAGGAAACUCACCUGGGUUCAUACUCAGGUACGUUGUACUGAAAUUCAAAAUAGGUACAUCGGGGGAACCGCCUGAACUGAAACAUCUAAGUAGGGCGAGGAAGAGACAUCAAACGAGAUUCCGUAAGUAGUGGCGAGCGAACGCGGAAGAGGGCAAACCGAAGGUAGAAAUACCUUCGGGGUACGGACUGCUUUUAGGACUCGAUCUGUUAACCGAACGGCAUGGGAAGGCCGGUCAGAGAGUGUGAGAACCACGUAGGUGAAAACGACAAGAGCUGAGCGAUUUCCAGAGUACGGCCAGACACGUGAAACCUGGUCGGAAGAUGGGGGGACCACCCUCCAACCCUAAAUACUACCCAGUGACCGAUAGCGUAUAGUACUGUGAAGGAAAGGUGAAAAGCACCCCGGGAGGGGAGUGAAAAAGAACCUGAAACCCUGUGCCUACAAGCACCUAGAGCACGUCAAUGUGUGAUAGGGUACUUUUUGUAGAACGGUCCGGCGAGCGAUUGUAUGCAGCAAGGUUAAGGACUUAAGGUCUGGAGCCGAAGCGAAAGCGAGUUUGAAAAGGGCGUUAAGUUGCAUAUAAUGGGCCCGAAACCGGGUGACCUACCCAUGGUCAGGUUGAAGUGGAAGUAAAAUUCCAUGGAGGACCGAACCGACCUCCGUUGAAAAGGCGGCGGAUGAACUGUGGGUAGCGGAGAAAUUCCAAUCGAACCCGGAGAUAGCUGGUUCUCCCCGAAAUAGUUUUAGGACUAGCCUCAAGUUAGAUACCUGGAGGUAAAGCACUGAAUAGCCUAGCGGCCGAGAGGUUAGCGAAGCUUAUCAAACUCAGAAUGCCAGAGUAUUGAUGCUUGGGAGUCAGACAGUGUCAGAUAAAUGUCAUUGUCAAAAGGGAAACAGCCCAGAUCUACAGCUAAGGUCCCAAAGUCAGGUUAAGUGGAAAACGAUGUGAAGAUACGCAGACAACCAGGAUGUUGGCUCAGAAGCAGCCACUCAUUCAAAGAGUGCGUAAUAGCUCACUGGUCGAGCGUCUUUGCGCGGAGAAUUUAACGGGGCUAAACCUGACACCGAAGCUUAGGCAAUCCAGUAAUGGAUUGGGUAGGGGAGCGUUGUAUACGCGGAGAAACAGUAGCGUAAGCGGCUGUGGAGUGUAUAGAAGUGAGAAUGCCGGAAUGAGUAGCGCGAAUGCAGUGAGAAUCUGCAUGGCCGAAAGCCUCAGGUUUUUGGAGGAAGGUUCGUCCGCUCCAAGUUAGUCGGGAGCUAAGGUGAGGCCGGAAGGCGUAGCCGAUGCACAGACGGUAGAGAUUCCGUCACCACCAAAAGAGUUAAGCACAGGGACACAUUUGAAGUCUCAGAGCCGGGUGUUGGUUCCGGUAGAGAUCGAGGGAAGUUAGUACCGAAGUCUGAGAUGGAAGAUGGCGAGAAAAGCUGUGUGUAUUUCUAAGGUGCCCGUACCGCAAACCGACACAGGUAGGUAGGAAGAAGAUUCUAAGGCCAACGGGAGAAGGGUUGUUAAGGAACUCGGCAAAUUGACCCCGUAACUUCGGGAGAAGGGGUGCUCCAGAGAUGGAGCCGCAGAGAAUCGGCCCAAGCAACUGUUUACCAAAAACACAGGUUUGUGCUAAAUCGAAAGAUGACGUAUACGAGCUGACGCCUGCCCGGUGCUGGAAGGUUAAGAGGAGAUGUGCAAGCAUUGAAUCGAAGCCCCAGUGAACGGCGGCCGUAACUAUAACGGUCCUAAGGUAGCGAAAUUCCUUGUCAGGUAAG